AUGUGGGCUAAAGUGAAUCCCUAUGGAGGAAUGAAGCCUUUUCAUGAAGGGAACGUCAGAGUGAAAAAGAGGACCUCCUUUUCAGGGCUAGGAUGGAUAACAAAGGCUACACAAGCCAAGGGAUAUAAAAUUAUCCAAUGUAUCCUGGAGUCGGAGAGGCUGAUCAGAGAGUGUGCAGAAGAGAUCCACUGUUCUUAGAUAUGAAGCACUGAACUUGAAAUUUUGUAGUGAAGAAUGUCGGAAGAAGGCAAAUGCCCUUAGAGAUACUAUAAACGGUUGUGGUUGCAGCCAGGAGUUAAAGUAUGAUUCAACGAACCAUUCAUUCUAACGAAGAUUGGAUAGACACGCACAGAGAAAGAGAAUCAAGAGAACUAAAUGGGGAAAAAAUGGGAACCAGAAUAGUCCUGUAGUCACCUCCUAAUAAAUUAAAGGUAUCAUUAAUUUCCUAAUAAAGAGAAAUUGGAAAUAGUCAUUAGAAAUCAAACGUAUUUUGUCAAGUCUAUCAUUAAGCUUACAUUAACGGCCUAGUAAAUACAUUUAGUUAUUAUAAAUGCAUACUGUAAGUUUAAGUUCUGGCUAUAAAAUUUCUUUCUUUUUUUUUAAAAUCACACGAAUAGAUGUAAAGGUAGCCAUUUAAUUUGUGAAGACCUAACCAGUAACUGAAGCUUAGAAUCUGGGAUUCAGAAAGGAAAUAGUUUUUUCUAGUGUUCCCAGUGCCCAUUAUAACCAGUCUAUCAGGCCAGCACUUAGGGGAAAUAAGGUGAGCAGGAAGAGAAACUUUUUAAAGUGCACUGAGGAAGAACUCAUGAAAUAAAACAGGAAAGUAUUUAAAGUAUUCGCUGGGUUGUUAAGAGCCAAGUUUCAUCAAGGUAGCUAUUUUCUCUAGCUUCCAGAUUUUAUUUAUGUUGGCUCAAUGGAAAACUUUCCUCAUGGUAAAGGACAUUCAAGCAGGUGUCAGGCACUAGGAAUAAUGUCAGAUAUUCAUUACCCAAUUUAGAAAUAUCACUGAAUUAAAACUGAGUUAAACUGAAUUAAAACUGAUCAUUAACCCAAAGUUUAUUAGUAAGGUGUAAUAUCAAAAUUAAAC
RNAcentral lists this long non-coding RNA (1087 nucleotides) under Callithrix jacchus (white-tufted-ear marmoset). Its description in RNAcentral is "lncRNA (ENSCJAG00000083292.1)". Lineage: Eukaryota; Metazoa; Chordata; Mammalia; Primates; Cebidae. The record is from RNAcentral.